Molecule: ribosomal RNA, 484 nt
Filed under: uncultured bacterium
Lineage: Bacteria
Description: partial 16S ribosomal RNA
Rfam family: Bacterial small subunit ribosomal RNA
Source: RNAcentral
AUUGAACGCUGGCGGCAUGCUUUACACAUGCAAGUCGAACGGCAGCGCGGGCUUCGUCCUGGCCGCGCGUGGCGAACGGGUGGGUAAUGCAUCCGAACGUGCCCUGUAGUGGGGGCUAGCCCGGCUAAAGCCGGCUUAAUACCGCAUACGACAUGAUGUUGAAAGCGGUGGACCGAAAGGCCUCGCGCUAUUUGCUCUGCCGAUGUCGGAUUAGCUAGUUGGUGGGGUAAAGGCUUACCAAGGCGACGAUCCGUAGCUGGUCUGAGAGGCCGACCUGCCACACUGGGACUGAGACACGGCCCAGACUCCUACGGGAGGCAGCAGUGGGGAAUUUUGGACAAUGGGGGCAAGCCUGAUGGAGCAAUGCCGCGUGCGGGAAGAAGGUCUUCGGGUUGUAAAACGCUUUUGUUAGGGAAGAAAAAAUGUGGGAGAAUACACGGGGGGGAUGACGGUACCGGAAGAGUAAGCAACGGCUAACUACGUG